GAUGAACGCUAGCGGCAGGCUUAACACAUGCAAGUCGAGGGGCAGCAUGAUGUAGCAAUACAUUGAUGGCGACCGGCGCAAGGGUGCGUAACGCGUGAGUAACAUGCCCGUAUCAGGGGGAUAACCCGAAGAAAUUCGGACUAAUACCCCAUAGUAAUUUGUGGAGGCAUCUCUAUAAAUUUAAAGCUCCGGCGGAUACGGAUUGACUCGCGUGACAUUAGCUAGAUGGUAAGGUAACGGCUUACCAUGGCGACGAUGUCUAGGGGAACUGAGAGGUUGGUCCCCCACACUGGAACUGAGACACGGACCAGACUCCUACGGGAGGCAGCAGUGAGGAAUAUUGGUCAAUGGACGCAAGUCUGAACCAGCCAUGCCGCGUGCAGGAAGACGGCUCUAUGAGUUGUAAACUGCUUUUGUAAGGGAGCAAUAAGGUGCACGUGUGCAUCGAUGAGAGUACCUUACGAAUAAGCAUCGG
Molecule: ribosomal RNA, 475 nt
Filed under: uncultured bacterium
Lineage: Bacteria
Description: bacterial SSU rRNA
Rfam family: Bacterial small subunit ribosomal RNA
Source: RNAcentral